Molecule: ribosomal RNA, 403 nt
Filed under: uncultured bacterium
Lineage: Bacteria
Description: bacterial SSU rRNA
Rfam family: Bacterial small subunit ribosomal RNA
Source: RNAcentral
UGGGGAAUAUUGCACAAUGGAGGAAACUCUGAUGCAGCGACGCCGCGUGAGUGAAGAAGGUCUUCGGAUCGUAAAACUCUGUCCUUGGUGACGAAAAAAUGACGGUAGCCAAGGAGGAAGCCCCGGCUAACUACGUGCCAGCAGCCGCGGUAAUACGUAGGGGGCGAGCGUUGUCCGGAUUUACUGGGCGUAAAGGGUGAGUAGGCGGUAAUAUGUGUCAGAUGUAAAAGGCUAUGGCUUAACCAUAGUUAGCAUUUGAAACUGUAUUACUUGAGUGCAGGAGAGGUAAGUGGAAUUCCUAGUGUAGCGGUGAAAUGCGUAGAUAUUAGGAGGAACACCAGUGGCGAAGGCGACUUACUGGACUGUAACUGACGCUGAGUCACGAAAGCGUGGGUAGCAAACA